UACAGAGGGGGCAAGCGUUGUUCGGAAUUACUGGGCGUAAAGGGCGCGUAGGCGGCCCGCUAAGUCGAACGUGAAAUCCCCGAGCUCAACCCGGGAACUGCGUCCGAUACUGGAAGGCUUGAAUCCGGGAGAGGGAUGCGGAAUUCCAGGUGUAGCGGUGAAAUGCGUAGAUAUCUGGAGGAACACCGGUGGCGAAGGCGGCAUCCUGGACCGGUAUUGACGCUGAGGCGCGAAAGCCAGGGGAGCAAACGGG
RNAcentral lists this ribosomal RNA (253 nucleotides) under uncultured bacterium. RNAcentral's name for it is "partial 16S ribosomal RNA". It matches the Rfam family "Bacterial small subunit ribosomal RNA", at positions 524 to 776 of the family's 1533-position model. The record is from RNAcentral.